CAUGUCAGUGAUUUAUAAUGUCUUUGUGUUCUUCCUAUAUAUAGACAUCAAAAGACUCUUUGGGACCUAGGAAAAAGGACUGAUCAAUGGUCGUGGACAUCAUCACUCCAAUAAGAUAACACUCUGUUGUGCUGUUGCCUCCCAAAACUGUAUGACGUCACUGACAGUGCCCGCUUUCUUCGACCGUCGUAUCCAUCAUCUUCACGUUGUACAAAUCGUUUCUCCCUCUAUGUUAUAGUUACCCUGAUACUGUGCAUAUACGCUGUCCUAUGAGAAGAUGAAUGGGGUCCCAGUGUCUCGAUAAUUCAAUUGUUACGUCUGAUAAAUCGAUUUUCACAUGACAUGCGGGGGUGACAGCAGCUUGAACUGCAGUGCUGGAGAACAGCUGUGGCCACUAUUUUCACUUCUUCUGGUCCAACGGGUUGUGCGAUUCGUUAUGGACGGACAUAACGUAGAGGUACAAUUUUGUUGAACAUAUUAAAACAAUGUUGCACGUUAAAAAUUAGACGUGUGACUCUUGAUUACGAACGUCUGGCGUCACUAUUCACAAAUGAAUCAAGUAGAAACCAUUACAAAAUAUGAUUACGACGAAAUGAUUCCAUGUUAUUGUUUGGUCUUGUGCGGAACAGGACACAAUAAAUCCUUCGCCACGCCCCCUUCCCUUUUUUGUUUUGUCAUGUGUAGGCUACGUCCUGCUAUAUCACAGCUCAUCUUGCUUUACACAUAGCGAAGAAUGCCAAAAGAAUGCCAGCCUUUUGUUGCAUGCUGUACAUCUACAAUGAUGAUUUAUAUGAGCCACAUUGGACAAGAAACCCGGGAAACGAAGAAAGUAUUCUUGUUUGUUUUUUUCUAUUUGUUUUUUGCGAUAUUUUAAAGAUAUAUUGUUUGUUUCUAGCUGCAUGGGGAAAGAAUAUUUCUAUCGGACCAUGGUCGAAGCAAAUAAAGAAGGAAACAAGUUGGAAGGAUUUAUAUCUAUCGUCGUGUCAACUUGCUCUAAUAUACUUUCUUUUUCUCGCUGCUUUUCUAUAUGUAUGUACAAAUACGAAGGGGCAGCGUAGGAAAACGAACACUGGCCUUCCGCGGACGCAAUGAAACAACAAAAAUUGUCCCUCGUUUUUCUUUCAAUUUUUAUCCUCUACGUGAUUUGCUGGUGGAAUGCUGGAGCCCUGGUGAUAACGUUUUCCUCUAAUACCGUGGAGCACCACAUCGUGCGGACGCUGUAAUAUAUAGAUGCAGCAUAGCAAAACAAAAAUAACUGGAGCUCAAACAAACAAAAAAAUAUCCUACAUUAUUUUUUUGUUUUGUUAUUUAUUACAAUAGGCCUCGAAAAAUGUUUUUUUUUCCCCCA
Molecule: long non-coding RNA, 1348 nt
Organism: Daphnia carinata
Lineage: Eukaryota; Metazoa; Arthropoda; Branchiopoda; Diplostraca; Daphniidae
Exons: 4
Source: RefSeq, a predicted model, not a curated record